AUUGAACGCUGGCGGCAUGCUUUACACAUGCAAGUCGAACGGCAGCAUAGGUGCUUGCACCUGAUGGCGAGUGGCGAACGGGUGAGUAAUAUAUCGGAACAUGUCCGGAAGUGGGGGAUGACGUAGCGAAAGUUACGCUAAUACCGCAUAUGCCCUGAGGGGGAAAGGAGGGGAUCGCAAGACCUUUCGCUUUCGGAGUGGCCGAUAUCGGAUUAGCUAGUAGGUGAGGUAAAGGCUCACCUAGGCGACGAUCCGUAGCUGGUCUGAGAGGACGACCAGCCACACUGGGACUGAGACACGGCCCAGACUCCUACGGGAGGUAGCAGUGGGGAAUUUUGGACAAUGGGCGCAAGCCUGAUCCAGCCAUGCCGCGUGUGUGAAGAAGGCCUUAUGGUUGUAAAGCACUUUAAGCGAGGAGGAGGCUCUUUUGGUUAAUACCCAAGAUGAGUGGACGUUACUCGCAGAAUAAGCACCGGCUAACUCUGUGCCAGCCGCCGCAGUAA
Molecule: ribosomal RNA, 503 nt
Filed under: uncultured bacterium
Lineage: Bacteria
Description: partial 16S ribosomal RNA
Rfam family: Bacterial small subunit ribosomal RNA
Source: RNAcentral